GAUGAACGCUGGCGGCGUGCCUAAUACAUGCCAGUCGAGCGAACAGACGAGGAGCUUGCUCCUCUGACGUUAGCGGCGGACGGGUGAGUAACACGUGGAUAACCUACCUAUAAGACUGGGAUAACUUCGGGAAACCGGAGCUAAUACCGGAUAAUAUAUUGAACCGCAUGGUUCAAUAGUGAAAGACGGUUUUGCUGUCACUUAUAGAUGGAUCCGCGCCGCAUUAGCUAGUUGGUAAGGUAACGGCUUACCAAGGCAACGAUGCGUAGCCGACCUGAGAGGGUGAUCGGCCACACUGGAACUGAGACACGGUCCAGACUCCUACGGGAGGCAGCAGUAGGGAAUCUUCCGCAAUGGGCGAAAGCCUGACGGAGCAAUGCCGCGUGAGUGAUGAAGGUCUUCGGAUCGUAAAACUCUGUUAUUAGGGAAGAACAAAUGUGUAAGUAACUAUGCACGUCUUGACGGUACCUAAUCAGAAAGCCACGGCUAACUACGUG
RNAcentral lists this ribosomal RNA (497 nucleotides) under uncultured bacterium. RNAcentral's name for it is "partial 16S ribosomal RNA". It matches the Rfam family "Bacterial small subunit ribosomal RNA", at positions 28 to 507 of the family's 1533-position model. The record is from RNAcentral.